GGGGGUCAGGUAGAGAGUUAGGUCAGGUAGGGAGGUCAGGUAGAGAGUUAGGUCAGGUAGGGAGUUAGGUCAGGUAGAGAGUUAGGACAGGUAGAGAGUUAUGUCAGGUAGGGAGGUCAGGUAGAGAGUUAGGUCAGGUAGAGAGGUCAAGUAGAGAGUUAGGUCAGGUAGGGGGGUCAGGUAGAGAGUUAGGUCAGGUAGGGAGGUCAGGUAGAGAGGUCAGGUAGAGAGUUAGGACAGGUAGGGGGUCAGGUAGGGAGGUCAGGUAGAGAGUUAGGUCAGGUAGAGAGGUCAAGUAGAGAGUUAGGUCAGGUAGGGGGUCAGGUAGAGAGUUAGGUCAGGUAGGGAGGUCAGGUAGAGAGGUCAGGUAGAGAGGUCAGGUAGAGAGUUAGGUCAGGUAGGGAGGUCAGGUAGAGAGUUAGGACAGGUAGGGAGUUAGGUCAUUUAGGGGGGUCAGGUAGAGUGUUAGGACAGGUAGAGAGUUAGGUCAGGUAGGGAGGUCAGGUCGAGAGUUAGGUCAGGUAGGGAGGUCAGGUAGAGAGUUGGGACAGGUAGGGAGUUAGGUCAGGUAGGGGGGUUAGGUAGAGAGUUAGGACAGGUAGAGAGUUAGGUCAGGUAGGGAGGUCAGGUAGAUAGUUAGGUCAGGUAGGGAGGUCAGGUAGGGGGGUCAGGUAGAGAGUUAGGUCAGGUAGGGAGGUCAGGUAGAGAGGGCAGGUAGAGAGUUAGGUCAGGUAGAGAGUUAGGACAGGUAUAGAGUUAGGUGAGGUAGAGAGUUAGGUCAGGUAGAGAGUUAGGUCAGGUAGGGAGGUCAGGUAGAGAGUUAGGUCAGGUAGAGAGGUCAGGUAGAGAGUUAGGUCAGGUAGAGAGGCCUACGUCACCAUAGAGAAGAGCCGUCCGUCCAUCUGUCCACCAGAGAGACCGCUGAAUGCUAAAACAAACUGUCACAUAUCCACAACAUCCACACCUAUGAACUUGGACACAUAAUGAUUGUGGUUCCUUUGAAUGGCUAUAGAUCAAUACAAACAUAUGCUAUAGAUGCUAUAUGCUAUAGAUCAAUACAAACAUAUGCUAUAGAUGUUAUACGCUAUAGAUCAAUACAAAC
Long non-coding RNA from Oncorhynchus tshawytscha (Chinook salmon), 1102 nucleotides. The record is from Ensembl. NCBI's taxonomy places the organism in Eukaryota, Metazoa, Chordata, Actinopteri, Salmoniformes, Salmonidae.